UCUGGCGGCCGUAGCGCGGUGGUCCCACCUGACCCCAUGCCGAACUCAGAAGUGAAACGCCGUAGCGCCGAUGGUAGUGUGGGCCACCUGACCCCAUGCCGAACUCAGAAGUGAAACGCCGUAGCGCCGAUGGUAGUGUGGGGUCUCCCCAUGCGAGAGUAGGGAACUGCCAGAC
Molecule: ribosomal RNA, 175 nt
Filed under: Escherichia coli
Lineage: Bacteria; Pseudomonadati; Pseudomonadota; Gammaproteobacteria; Enterobacterales; Enterobacteriaceae
Source: RNAcentral